AGAGCCUGACAGAUCCCUUCCACUUCAAGCUCCACCAGGUGUGCUGUUAAGGAAGACGUCUCUGCCUCUGCCUCUGCUGCCUGACUGCUGCAAACUGCUGCAGGGAUUGCAGAGGACUUCGGUCACAUCUGGGCAAGUACCCGAGUCUGGAGAGAUCCCAGAAGAUAUUUUUUGACCUGACAUCAUCGCAAGCUCCCAAGUUGUCUGAGGCCACAUGAACUGACAAUCUGGAUGGGAAGAUCAGAGUAAAGACAGAAGUCAA
RNAcentral lists this long non-coding RNA (262 nucleotides) under Anas platyrhynchos platyrhynchos (common mallard). RNAcentral describes it as "lncRNA (ENSAPLG00000023334.1)". The record is from RNAcentral. Lineage: Eukaryota; Metazoa; Chordata; Aves; Anseriformes; Anatidae.